RNAcentral lists this long non-coding RNA (508 nucleotides) under Gallus gallus (chicken). Lineage: Eukaryota; Metazoa; Chordata; Aves; Galliformes; Phasianidae. The record is from RNAcentral.
GGCUGCUAGGAGCACGGUGGCUUCCUUUUUCCUCAUGCCUGCUGGAGGCUCGGCGGCACGGGAGCUGGAGGGGCCGGGGAAGGCUCGUGGCUGAUCGUCCAGGAUGUUCCACGUGGUUUUCUUCUCCAGAGAGGUUUUGCUCACACUCGCCACCUUCUUUCUUCCACCAGAACUGCUCUCAAAGAAGGUCAGGAAGUCUCCCGUCUGCUCGGAGCUGCGUGUGCCGUUUGCCCGCUGGUUCACCUGGGUGGUGCUGUUGGACCUCCGGAGGUUGUUGAUGGCCCGGGAUCCUGCGUCCUCCAACGCGUUCCUUUUGCUUUUCCCGUCGCCGACGACCGACACGGAGCGCACCACGUGCUUGGCGGGCGAGGCGCUGCUGGGCCGUCGCGCCACGGGCACGGGCAGCCCGGUAAGGCUCAGCUCCACGGCACCGCCCGGGCACGAGCAGCUGCUCCGGGCGCUCCUCAUCGUGCGGCGGGGCGAGGAACGGCCCCGCGCGGCGGCCCCG